GAUAAGCUUGGUGCAAAAGUGAUUGCGGUUUUUGCCAUUGAAAAUAAUGGCAAAAACCGCAAUCACUUUUGCACCAAGCUAAUA
RNAcentral lists this microRNA precursor (84 nucleotides) under Gorilla gorilla gorilla (western lowland gorilla). RNAcentral describes it as "mir-548 microRNA precursor family". It matches the Rfam family "mir-548 microRNA precursor family". The record is from Rfam by way of RNAcentral. RNAcentral also lists the same sequence under 1 other name. Lineage: Eukaryota; Metazoa; Chordata; Mammalia; Primates; Hominidae.